Molecule: ribosomal RNA, 450 nt
Filed under: uncultured Glomeromycotina
Lineage: Eukaryota; Fungi; Glomeromycota
Description: SSU rRNA
Rfam family: Eukaryotic small subunit ribosomal RNA
Source: RNAcentral
AGCAGCCGCGGUAAUUCCAGCUCCAAUAGCGUAUAUUAAAGUUGUUGCAGUUAAAAAGCUCGUAGUUGAACUUCGGGGUUUACCCAUUGGUCAGGCUUAAUUGUCUGUACUGGUGAGAUAAAUCUCUACCUUCUGAGGAACUUUCAUGCCAUUUAUUUGGUGUGGGAGGAAAUCAGGACUGUUACUUUGAAAAAUUAGAGUGUUUAAAGCAGGCUAACGUCUGAAUACAUUAGCAUGGAAUAAUGAAAUAGGACGGACUGAUUCUAUUUCGUUGGUUUCUAGGAUCACCGUAAUGAUUAAUAGGGAUAGUUGGGGGCAUUAGUAUUCAAUUGUCAGAGGUGAAAUUCUUGGAUUUAUUGAAGACUAACUACUGCGAAAGCAUUCGCCAAGGAUGUUUUCAUUAAUCAAGAACGAAAGUUAGGGGAUCGAAGACGAUCAGAUACCGUCGUA